GCACUGGCGGCGUGACCCGGAAGGGAGCCUCGGAGGAGGCGGGGCCAGCACUGCGGGACCGGCGCCGGGCUCCAGCGAGGGCCGAGCCGGGAGGUGGGAGUGCCUCUGUCUCUCUCCUGUGUGUCCCAGGAAGUCAGGAUGGUGGGAGAACGGCGCACUGGGGACCUCAUGGUGCCCUUGGGGCCCCGGCUGCAGGCAUAUCCCGAAGAGCUUCUUCGACAGCGGCCUGGACAGGAUGGGCAUCCUGAAUACCUGAUCCGAUGGAGUGUCCUGAAGUGUGGGGAAGUGGGCAGAGCGGGUGUGGAGGAGGGCAAGGCAGAGCACAUCCUCAUGUGGCUGUCAGCCCCCGAGGUCUAUGCCAGCUGCCCCAUGCUGUUAGGGGAGCGGGCGUUAUCUAAGGGACCUCAGCACGAGACAGCUGGGGGUUCAGCAAGCUUUCCCGGAGACCCAGGCAGUCUGGAUGAUGUGGCCAUGGGAGAGAUGGAGGCAGACGUGCGAGCACUGGUGCGCAGGGCUGCCCGGCAGCUGGCAGAAGGUGGGACCUCGAGCCUCACAGCCGCUGUGCUCCACACCAUCCACGUGCUCAGCGCCUAUGCCAGCAUCGGGCCCCUCACCGGGGUCUUCAGGGAGACGGGCGCCCUGGACCUACUCAUGCACAUGCUGUGCAACCCUGAGCCUCAGAUCCGUCGGAGUGCCGGCAAGAUGCUGCAGGCCCUAGCAGCCCACGAUGCUGGGAGUCGGGCUCACGUCCUUCUGUCCCUGAGCCAACAAGACGGCAUCGAGCAGCACAUGGAUUUUGACAGCCGCUAUACUUUGCUGGAACUGUUCGCAGAGACCACGUCUUCCGAGGAGCAUUGCAUGGCCUUUGAGGGCAUUCACCUGCCUCAGAUCCCAGGAAAACUGCUUUUCUCCCUGGUGAAACGCUACCUGUGUGUCACUUCCCUGCUGGAUCAGCUGAAUAACAGUCCAGAGCAGGGGGCCGGAGACCAAGGCUCCCCAGCCUCGAGGGAGGAUUUGGGCCGAGAGAAGAGCCGGGGGCAGCGGGAGCUGGAGUUCAGUAUGGCUGUGGGCAACCUUAUCUCGGAGCUGGUGCGGAGCAUGGGCUGGGCCCAGAACCUCAGCCAACAGGGCACGUUGCCACCCCGGCCGACCCGGUCCAUCUUUCAGCCCAGCAUUUCAGGCCCCAGCCUUUUACUCCCCACCAUUGUUGCGACCCCAAGGAGGCAAGGGCGGGCCUUCCGCCAGCGCGCUGAAUUCUCCAGCCUUAGUGGCUACGGUGAGUACGUGCAGCAGGCCCUGCAGCCGGGCAUGCGCGUGCGGAUGCUGGAUGACUACGAGGAGAUCAGCGCGGGCGAUGAGGGCGAGUUCCGGCAGAGCAACAAUGGCGUGCCCCCUGUGCAGGUCUUCUGGAGGUCGACGGGCCGCACCUACUGGGUGCACUGGCACAUGCUGGAGAUCCUGGGUCCCGAGGAGACUGCCGAGGACACGUCUUCAGCAGCUGCAGAGGAGGGGGCGGGGGCUGCCGUGCCGGGCACAGCACUCCCCUCCUGGGACUGGAAGCCGGUGGAUGGGCUCUACUCUUUGCCAUACCUCCAGCCCGAGCCUCAGAAGAACGAGAGACUGGGCUACCUGACCCAGGCUGAGUGGUGGGAGCUGCUCUUCUUCAUCAGGAAGUUGGACAUAUGUGAGCAGCAGUCAAUUUACCAGAGUCUUCGGGAGAACCUGGAUGAGAGCCUGGGUAAGAAGGCCCUGGGUGAAAUCUCUGUGCCCGUGACCAUGGCAGAGAGUCUACUACAGGUUCUCAGGGAUCGGUUUGAGGGCAGCACCCUCAGCGACCUGCUCAACUCCCAGAUCUACACCAAGUACAGGCUGCAGCCCGACGCUCUGAGUGGCUCGUCAUCUUCACAAAAUCACUCCAGUACCCCAGAUCCUGAAGAGGAGUCAAAGUCAGAGGCCACCUUCUCAGAGGAGGAGACUGAGUCCCCCAAAGUGAAGGCUGAGCCCCCCAAGGCAGAGGCGGAGCCGGUCAAGGGAAAAACCGAGCCGCCCAUGGCACAGAGCGAUUCACAGCUGUUCAACCAGCUUCUGGUGACUGAGGGGAUGGCUCUCCCCUCCGGGAUGAAGGAGGCAGCCAGUGAAAUGAUUAGAGCCUUGCGGGGUCCUGGGCCACGCAGCUCCCUGGACCAGUACGUGGCAGCGGUCGUGGCCACUGUGCAGAUCUCCAGCGUGGACACCAGCCUGCAGCUCUCAGCGCUCUGUGCUCUCUCCCAGGCCGUGGAGGAGGUCACAGAGCGAGACCACCCUCUGGUCCAUCCUGACAGAUUCCUGAGGGAGAAGCUGGUGAAGACGCUGGUGGAGCUGCUGACCAACCAGGUGGGAGAGAAGAUGGUGGUGGUGCUGGCUCUGCGGCUUCUUUACCUGCUCAUGACCAAGCACGAGUGGCGCCCGCUCUUUGCCAGGGAAGGCGGCAUCUACGCCGUGCUGGUCUGCAUGCAAGAAUACAAGACCUCCGUCCUGGUGCAGCAGGCGGGGCUGGCAGCGCUGAAGAUGCUGGCCAUUGCCAGCUCCUCGGAGAUCCCCACAUUUGUCACCGGCCAAGAUUCUGUUCAUCCUUUGUUUGACGCCCAGAUGACCAGGGAGAUCUUCGCCAGCAUUGACUCAGCCACCCGCCCGGACUCCGAGAGCCUGCUCCUCACUCUCCCUGCUGCUGUGAUCCUGAUGCUGAACACAGAGGGGUGCUCCUCCGCGGUGAGAAACGGCCUCCUCCUGCUCAAUCUGCUUUUGUGCAACCACCACACGCUGGGAGACCAGAUCAUCACCCGCGAGCUGAGAGACACCUUGUUUAGACACUCGGGCAUAGCACCGGGGACAGAACCCAUGCCCACCACCCGCACCAUCCUCAUGAUGCUUCUCAAUCGCUACUCGAAGCCGCCUGGCAGCCCCGAGCACUCAGCAGCGCCAGAGACCCCCAGCACCCAGGGCCAGGAGGGGAACCCUGAGCUGCUGAUCCGAUCCCUGGUGGGGGGCCCGUCUGCAGAACUCCUCCUGGACUUGGAGCGCGUGCUAUGCCGAGAAGGUGGCCUGGGGGGCGCUGUGAGGCCCCUCCUCAAGCGCCUCCAGCAGGAGAGCCAGCCCUUCCUCCUGUUCCUGUGGACUCUGGACGCCCCCGGGCCCAAUAAAACCCUGCUGCUGACGGCGCUGAGGGUCAUGACCCAGCUGCUGGAUCACGCUGAGGCCAUGGUCCUCCCCUGGCACGAGGUCUUGGAGCCCUGCCUCAACUGUCUGAAUGGCCCCGGCAGUGACUCUGAGAUUGUUCAGGAGCUGCUAUGCUUCCUGUAUCGCCUGGCCUCCACGCACAAGGACUACGCGGUGGUGCUCUGCUGCCUGGGAGCCAAAGACGCCCUCACCAAGGUCCUGGAGAAGCACUCGGCUCAGCUGCUGCUGGCCUGUGAGCUGCGGGACCUGGUGACGGAAUGUGAGAAGCACGCCCAGCUCUACAGUAACCUCACCUCCAGCAUCCUGGCGGGCUGCGUUCAGAUGGUGCUGGGCCAGAUCGAAGACCACAGACGAACCCACCGCCCCAUCAACAUCCCCUUCUUCGACGUGUUCCUCAGGCACCUCUGCCAGGGCUCCAGCGUGGAGGUGAAGGAGGACAAGUGCUGGGAGAAGGUGGAGGUGUCGUCCAACCCGCACCGGGCCAGCAAGCUGACGGACCGCAACCCCAAGACCUACUGGGAGUCCAACGGCAGCACCGGCUCCCACUUCAUCACCCUCCACAUGCACCGCGGUGUUCUUGUGAGGCAGCUGACUCUUCUGGUGGCCAGUGAGGACUCGAGUUACAUGCCAGCCCGGGUGGUGGUGUUUGGGGGUGACAGUGCCAGCUGCAUCAACACGGAGCUCAAUACGGUGAACGUGAUGCCCUCCGCCAGCCGGGUGGUCCUCCUGGAGAACCUGAGCCGUGUCUGGCCCGUCAUCCAGAUCCGCAUAAAGCGCUGCCAGCAGGGCGGCAUUGACACCCGGGUUCGGGGUGUGGAGGUCCUCGGCCCCAAGCCCACUUUCUGGCCGCUGUUCCGAGAGCAGCUGUGUCGCCGUACGUGUCUCUUCUACACCAUUCGGGCCCAAGCCUGGAGCCGGGACAUCGCGGAGGACCGCAAGCGCCUCCUCCAGCUCUGUCCCAGACUGAACAGGGUUUUGCGUCAUGAGCAGAAUUUUGCAGAUCGCUUCCUCCCUGAUGAAGAGGCCGCCCAGGCACUGGGCAAGACCUGCUGGGAGGCCCUGGUCAGCCCCCUGGUGCAAAACAUCACCUGCCCGGAUGCGGAAGGUGUGAGCUCCCUGGGGUGGCUGCUGGAUCAGUACUUGGAGCAGAGGGAGAGCUCUCGGAACCCCCGGAGUCGAGCCGCGUCCUUUGCCUCUCGUGUUCGUCGCCUUUGCCACUUGCUGGUGCACGUGGAGCCUCCUCCCGGACCUUCUCCUGAGCCACCUGCCCGGCCCCCCAGCAAGAGCAGUAAGGGUCGGGACCGGAGCCCUGGGCCUUCCCCCAUUCUUCCAAGCAGCAGCCUGAGGAAUAUAACGCAGUGCUGGCUGAGUGUGGUACAGGAGCAGGUCAGCACGUUCCUGGCUGCAGCCUGGAGGGCCCCGGACUUCGUGCCCCGCUACUGUAAACUCUACGAGCGCCUGCAGAGGGCAGGCUUGGAGCUCUUCGGGCCCCGGGCGGCCUUCACGCUGGCCCUGCGCAGCGGCUUCUCUGGCGCCUUGCUGCAGCAGUCUUUCCUCACUGCUGCCCACAUAAGUGAGCAGUUUGCCCGGCACCUUGACCAGCAGAUCCAGAGUGGCCUGACGGGUGGAACCCCUGGAGUGGAAGUGCUGGGGCGGCUCCAGUGGCACCUGGAGCCCAUCAUGGUCCUCUCUGGCCUGGAGCUCGCCACGACUUUUGAGCACUUCUACCAGCACUACAUGGCGGACCGUCUCCUGAGCUUGGGCUCGAGCUGGCUGGAGGGGGCUGUGCUGGAGCAGAUCGGCCUUUGUUUCCCCAACCGCCUUCCCCAGCAGAUGUUGCGGAGCCUGAGCACCUCCGAGGAGCUGCAGCGCCAGUUCCACGUAUACCAGCUCCAGCAGCUGGACAAGCUGUUCUUGGAGCAGGAGGACGAGGAGGAACAGGGCCUGGAAGAAGAGGAGGAGGAAGAGGAGGCCGAGAAAGAGCUCUUUAUCGAAGAUCCAAGUCCAACAGUCUCUGUACUGGUCCUGUCACCACGCUGCUGGCCGGUCUCCCCUCUCUGCUACCUGUACCAUCCCAGAAAGUGCCUUCCCACAGAAUUCUGUGAUGCCCUUGACCGCUUCUCCAGUUUCUACAACCAGAGUCAGAACCAUCCGGUCUUGGAUGUGGGGCCGCACCGGCGACUGCAGUGGACGUGGCUGGGCCGGGCGGAGCUGCAGUUCGGGGACCAGACGCUGCAUGUGUCCACCGUGCAGAUGUGGCUGCUGCUGCAUUUCAAUCAGACAGAGGAGGUGUCAGUAGAGGCUUUGCUGAAGAGCUCUGGCCUCAGCCCUGAGCUGCUGCUCCAGGCCCUCCUGCCCCUCACCUCAGACAGUGGCCCUUUGACCCUGCAGGAGGGCCAGGACUUCCCACCUAGGGGUGUGCUACGUCUCCGGGAGCCUGGGCUCCAGCCCCGUGGGGAGGCCCUGUGGCUGCUGCCUCCCCAGACAUACCUGAACGUGGAGAAGGAUGAAGGCCGGACCCUGGAGCAGAAGAGGAACCUCCUGAGCUGUCUUCUUGUCCGUAUUCUCAAAGCCCAUGGGGAGAAGGGCCUCCACAUUGACCAGCUGGUUUGUCUGGUUCUGGAGGCCUGGCACAAGGGUCCAAAUCCCCCUGGAAGCCUGGGCCGCACCAUUGCCGGGGGUGUGGCCUGUACCAGCACGGAUGUCCUCUCUUGCAUUCUUCACCUCCUGGGUCAGGGCUAUGUGGAACGGCGGGAUGACUGGCCCCAGAUCCUCACGUACGCCACCCCGGAGCCCUCAGGGCCCUGCCGGGGCCAGGCAGAGAUCCCCUUCUUUGGCAGCCAGACCUCUGAGACCUCCAAGAUGAGCCCAGAAGCCGUGGCUGCCCUGGCUUCCCUCCAGCUGCCUGCGGGCCGCACCAUGAGCCCCCGGGAGGUGGAAGGGUUGAUGGAGCAGACGGUGCGGCAGGUGCAGGAGACGCUGAACCUGGAGCCCGACGUGGCGCAGCACCUCCUGGCUCAUGCCCACUGGGGUGCCGAGCAGCUGCUGCAGAGCUACAGCGAUGACCCGGAGCCGCUGCUGCUGGCAGCCGGGCUGCGCGUGCCGCAGGCCCAGGCCGCGCCCGCACGCCCCGACCACUGCCCCGUGUGCGUCAGCCCCCUCGCGCCCGACCAUGACCUGCCUGCCCUCUGCUGCCAGCACUCCUGCUGCAAGUCUUGCUGGAAUGAGUAUCUGACGACGCGCAUUGAGCAGAACCUUGUGCUGAACUGCACCUGCCCCAUUGCUGAGUGCCCGGCCCAGCCCACGGGGGCCUUCAUCCGUGCCAUUGUCUCCUCGCCAGAGGUCAUCUCCAAGUACGAGAAGGCCCUCCUGCGUGGCUACGUGGAGAGCUGCGCCAACCUGACCUGGUGCACCAACCCCCAGGGCUGUGACCGCAUCCUCUGCCGCCAAGGCCUGGGCUGCGGGACCGCCUGCUCCAAGUGUGGCUGGGCCUCCUGCUUCAGCUGUAGCUUCCCUGAGGCACACUACCCUGCCAGCUGUGGCCACAUGUCUCAGUGGGUAGAUGACGGCGGCUACUACGACGGCAUGAGCGUGGAGGCCCAGAGCAAGCAUCUGACGAAGCUCAUCUCCAAGCGCUGCCCCAGCUGUCAGGCUCCCAUUGAGAAGAACGAGGGGUGUCUGCACAUGACCUGUGCCAAAUGCAAUCAUGGAUUCUGCUGGCGCUGCCUCAAGUCCUGGAAGCCUAAUCACAAAGACUAUUACAACUGCUCCGCCAUGGUAAGCAAAGCCGCGCGCCAGGAGAAGCGCUUCCAGGACUACAACGAGAGGUGUACUUUCCAUCACCAGGCCCGGGACUUUGCUGUGAACUUGCGGAACCGCGUGUCUGCCAUCCACGAGGUGCCCCCACCCAAAUCCUUCACCUUCCUCAGUGAUGCCUGCCGGGGUCUCGAGCAAGCACGAAAGGUGCUGGCCUACGCCUGCGUGUACAGCUUCUACAACCAGGACACAGAGCACAUGGACAUCGUGGAGCAGCAGAUCGAGGCCCUGGAGCUGCACACCAAUGCCCUGCAGAUCCUCCUGGGUCCACGGGGCACACCCCCACCCGCCCUUUGCUUUGAUUAUGACGUGUCCCCACCUCUAGGCUGUGAGCCCUGGUAGAUGUGGGGAGCGCAUGGUAGGCGUCUGUGGGAGGAAGGGAAGAAGGGAGGGAGCCCCGCGCCCUGCCCCCUCUGCAGAGGAGACACUGCUGCACUGCAGAGACCUGGCCUCCUCGCUGCGCCUCCUGCGGGCGGAGCACCUCAACACCGGCCUGGAGCUGCUGCGGCGGAUCCAGGAGCGGCUGCUGGCCAUCCUGCAGCACUCCACCCAGGAUUUCCGGGUUGGUCUCCAGAGUCCAUCCUCCGAGUCCCGGGAGGCGAAAGGACCCAACGUGCCCGGCAGUCAGCCCCAGAGCUCCUCGGGACUGGAGGAGGAGGAGGAGGAGGAAGACGAGGACGAGGUGCCCGAGUGGCAGCAGGACGAGUUUGAGGAGGAGCUGGACAAUGACAGCUUCUCCUACGAUGAGGAGUCUGAGAACCUGGACCGAGAGACGUUCUUCUUCGGCGACGAGGACGACGACGAGGAUGAUGAUGAGGGCUACGACUGAGGGGGCAGGACGCAGAGGCCACCAGAGCCCGGGGUCCCGGGUCAGGUGCGCACCACUGUCCCCGCACACAGUGGCAGGUGCCUGUGGCACCAUCUUCUGUUCAGUGAAUAAACUUUUUUUUUCAUAUA
RNA transcript from Capra hircus (goat), 7989 nucleotides. It is a transcript of the gene named cullin 9, with no coding region annotated. The record is from RefSeq and is a predicted model, not a curated record. The transcript has 41 exons. NCBI's taxonomy places the organism in Eukaryota, Metazoa, Chordata, Mammalia, Artiodactyla, Bovidae.